This is a long non-coding RNA of Rhineura floridana, 395 nucleotides long. RefSeq lists it as uncharacterized. The transcript is spliced from 3 exons. Lineage: Eukaryota; Metazoa; Chordata; Lepidosauria; Squamata; Rhineuridae. The record is from RefSeq and is a predicted model, not a curated record.
GGCCACAGAUCUCGUGGUUGUAAUAGUCACUCUGGUUGGGCUGGUUCUUCUUGGUCUGGGCUUUGUGGCUGCAUUUAAGAGAAUGCAGUUGGAGGCUUGGCUUGCUAGAGUGAUCCGGGGGAAAAUGCCGUUACACUCAGGAGAUAGAGGAUCACAGGCAAGCCAAGGGUCAGAAUGUGGCAUAUCACUGAAAAAUCAAGAGGCAAAAUUUAAUGCAAGUGUUGGCACAUAGACCAUGCUGCCUCAGAGGAGAACAUUUUUUGAUACCUAAACACCCAGAGAAAGAGCUCCCAAGGGCGAUGCAUGUGGCCUUACCUAUUGCCUCCGUGUCAGCAGAAAUCUUUUUGCUUUUUUGUCUCUCCAGUCUUCAAAUAAAAUGUUAUUCUUCCUUUGAA